CAGCAAGGUCGAACACCUACCGAGGCAUACCGUAUGGAAAGCCGAUGCGUGUAAGGAGUGUUGAUAGCAAGGUCUCGUACAAUUCUGUGUUGUGAACCGUGUCAGGGCUUGACCGCAGCAGCACUAAGCAAAUUUCAGAAUGUGUUACGAGGAAACUUUGAAGGAGCCACCUGCACGUAAGCCGAUUCGGUGCAGUAUGUCGGAGUAGGCGCAUCC
This 216-nucleotide signal recognition particle RNA is filed under the name Clostridia bacterium. Its description in RNAcentral is "partial signal recognition particle sRNA large type". It matches the Rfam family "Bacterial large signal recognition particle RNA", at positions 48 to 256 of the family's 256-position model. From Rfam's summary of the family: The signal recognition particle (SRP) is a universally conserved ribonucleoprotein involved in the co-translational targeting of proteins to membranes. The record is from RNAcentral. Lineage: Bacteria; Bacillati; Bacillota; Clostridia.